AUAGAAUUCAAGGAGGGAGUCCGGCAGAUCUGCCGAGUUGGAGUUGAAGGCAUAAAUCUACACUCUAACUUUCAUAUUGUAAGCAAUGAGGCAUCUUGGAGAAGGCAGAAAGAAAGAAAGAAAUUGUGCCAGGAGCUGUAAAGCAGCUGUGAACUAGGAGAAAAGAGUUUUAGAAACCAGGCUCAAGUUCAAAACUUACAGACCUUACAAGAAGCUGAUAAAAAGUUUGCAGUUAGUCCCAAAAAAGUGGAUAACCAUCAAGAAUUUGAUAAAUUGUCAAAGACUUCUUGGAGAAGGUAUGAAUCAUAGUGGAAAAGAAUUUUCAAUUACUGAGAGACAAUGGUGCAUCAUCUUUUCAACAAUUUGAAGAGAAAAGGAUGCCUGAAAGCAUUUCUUAGCCAAUGAAGAAUUUUUGCAGUUCAAUUCUGUAAUGCACAGAAAAGCAGUGCCAAUUUUCAUUCUACAAGACCCCCAACCAGCAACGAGACACAGAGGAAUUCAUCAGGUGAAUAAGGCUCGGGGAAUUCUUCCACAAACCCCAAGAUGUCAGCAGCGAGCCCAGUGAGACAACCAACCAACCAGAACCAGUUGACAGAGAUCCGUGUUGCAGUGACCAAAGAAAAAGUCAAAUUGGAGCCCUUCAGAAGGCCACUGCCCUAGGCUCAACAUGUAUGCUGAAGGCAGCAG
Molecule: long non-coding RNA, 687 nt
Organism: Rhincodon typus (whale shark)
Lineage: Eukaryota; Metazoa; Chordata; Chondrichthyes; Orectolobiformes; Rhincodontidae
Exons: 4
Source: RefSeq, a predicted model, not a curated record